GAGAGCCAAGAGAUCCGUUGCUGAAAGUUGUAUAUAUAUAUAUGACUUGUAUUGAUCACAAAGACCAAUUCGGAUACACACAUUCAUAAGACUAUCAAAGAGUUUGUGUAAGACAUAGGCUACAAAGUUGAAAGCAAACAAACAAACAUAAUGAAUGAAUGCAUGAAAGCUUUCUGAACCUUAUCAUAGCCUACAAUAGGGUGCACAGUGGAGAGAGUUAGAAAAAGCGAUAUAGCGAGCACAUACUCCCCCU
This 253-nucleotide unclassified non-coding RNA is filed under the name uncultured Megacollybia. RNAcentral describes it as "sequence contains ITS1". Lineage: Eukaryota; Fungi; Basidiomycota; Agaricomycetes; Agaricales; Tricholomataceae. The record is from RNAcentral.